RNAcentral lists this ribosomal RNA (449 nucleotides) under Merluccius productus (North Pacific hake). RNAcentral's name for it is "partial 16S ribosomal RNA". It matches the Rfam family "Bacterial large subunit ribosomal RNA", at positions 1963 to 2564 of the family's 2925-position model. Lineage: Eukaryota; Metazoa; Chordata; Actinopteri; Gadiformes; Merlucciidae. The record is from RNAcentral.
AAUCACUUGUCUUUUAAAUGAAGACCUGUAUGAAUGGCAUCACGAGGGCUUAACUGUCUCCCCUCUCCAGUCAAUGAAAUUGACCUCCCCGUGCAGAGGCGGGGAUAUUUAUAUAAGACGAGAAGACCCUGUGGAGCUUUAGACCUAAAGUAAACCACGUUUAAUGUACUAGAAUUAAUAGCAAAAACUUAGUGGACAUUUAUUUAAGUGUCUUUGGUUGGGGCGACCGCGGAGUAAAAUAUAACCUCCAUGUGGACGGGGAUACUUUCCCUAAAACUCAGAGCCUCCACUCCAAGCAACAGAAAUUCUGACCUUACUGAUCCGGUACAACCGAUUAACGAACCCAGUUACCCCAGGGAUAACAGCGCAAUCCCCUCUCAGAGCUCAUAUCGACGAGGGGGUUUACGACCUCGAUGUUGGAUCAGGACAUCCUAAUGGUGCAGCCGCUA